Dipodomys spectabilis (banner-tailed kangaroo rat) is the source of this 113-nucleotide long non-coding RNA. RefSeq lists it as uncharacterized. Lineage: Eukaryota; Metazoa; Chordata; Mammalia; Rodentia; Heteromyidae. The record is from RefSeq and is a predicted model, not a curated record. The transcript has 3 exons.
GUUUAGAUCUCAGACAGUCUGAAUACAGAGACCUGCACUCUAGCAUAAAAGAGCAGAGACCUUAGGGAAAUACCUAAGAUGCACCCUGGGGUUAUGGCCUGCCUAUUAUAUUC